RNAcentral lists this ribosomal RNA (468 nucleotides) under uncultured bacterium. RNAcentral describes it as "partial 16S ribosomal RNA". It matches the Rfam family "Bacterial small subunit ribosomal RNA", at positions 28 to 507 of the family's 1533-position model. The record is from RNAcentral.
GACGAACGCUGGCGGCGUGCUUAACACAUGCAAGUCGAACGGAAAGGCCAUGCUUUUGUGGGGUGCUCGAGUGGCGAACGGGUGAGUAACACGUGAGUAACCUGCCCUUGUCUUUGGGAUAACUUCAGGAAACUGGGGCUAAUACCGGAUAGGAGCUCCUGCUGCAUGGGGUGGGUUGGAAAGUUUCGGCGGUUGGGGAUGGACUCGCGGCUUAUCAGCUUGUUGGUGGGGUAGUGGCUUACAAAGGCUUUGACGGGUAGCCGGCAUGAGAGGGUGACCGGCCACAUUGGGACUGAGAUACGGCCCAGACUCCUACGGGAGGCAGCAGUGGGGAAUAUUGCACAAUGGGCGGAAGCCUGAUGCAGCAACGCCGCGUGCGGGAUGACGGCCUUCGGGUUGUAAACCGCUUUCGCCUGUGACGAAGCGUGAGUGACGGUAAUGGGUAAAGAAGCACCGGCUAACUACGUG